UUUAUAGUUGCAAACAAUCCUGUUUUGUGUACUGUUAUUCCUUGUGAAUGUAAUACUGUGUGAAGGUUUAUAACGUCGUUUCCCCAAGUCUGUUCCUGUUAGGGAAGGUUAUAAUGACUUGCAUGGUGAAGUACUAGGGAAACACUGUGUUUAUGAGCUUUCAUUGUAUUUGCGUUCAUGGCGUGUCCUAUUUUUGUAAGGAAAACAUGUAACAUAAAUGUGGUAUGUACCAGAAGAGGGUCUGUGGUUGAAUCUGUCUAAACCGCUUCUGCCGUGAAGGAAGUUUGUCGGGGUUGGUGAAUAUUUACUACCUAACGUAGAAAAGAGAGAACGAAGAACUGUCAGCCACAUAAACAGAGUUUGAGAUGACCGACGAUCACAGUUCAUAACGAAUCCUGGAUGCUUUUAAAAUAUCAAUACUAUUUCAUUAAGCAUACCUCUCAAGUGUACCUCAUUACGAGGAACGUACCUCAUUUGGAGUUUUAAAAAACUUUUGUUCCUCGAAGUUCUACAUUGAAAGGGCCUGUCAUACAUUCAGUGUUGAGUUUAACUGAUAUCCAAGGAUCGUUGGGACACACAACCUGUCAAUGACAAUCAGCAAGUGGAAGGGAGAGAAACUGAUGGUAAUCGGUUCAAAAAAUGUGUCCUCAGCUGACUUUCGGUGAUACCACUAGCUUUUGCUUACAGUUUUGCUGUGUCCCUUCUAGAAAUUAGCGUUUUGGGGAGAAGAGUUGGCAGAUCACUGUUAAUAAGUACUGGUGAUAAUUAAUAGGCUUUUAUUUUACUUCAGAGAGCAAGCAAAUUCCAUUUUGUACUAGAAGGUCCUAGCGCUACCGUCUUUGACACCUAUCACUUAAAAAUGCUACCUCUCCAGUACUUAAUAAAUGUAGGCAUUAUUUUCAGCUGUUCCUCCCAAAACUUAAAUAAAACAAUAUUGCACCUGU
Molecule: long non-coding RNA, 944 nt
Organism: Protopterus annectens (West African lungfish)
Lineage: Eukaryota; Metazoa; Chordata; Ceratodontiformes; Protopteridae
Exons: 2
Source: RefSeq, a predicted model, not a curated record